UGGGGAAUAUUGGACAAUGGGGGGAACCCUGAUCCAGCCAUGCCGCGUGUGUGAAGAAGGCCUUAUGGUUGUAAAGCACUUUAAGCGAGGAGGAGGGUACUGGUAUUAAUACUACUAGGUACUGGACGUUACUCGCAGAAUAAGCACCGGCUAACUCUGUGCCAGCAGCCGCGGUAAUACAGAGGGUGCGAGCGUUAAUCGGAUUUACUGGGCGUAAAGCGUGCGUAGGCGGCUAAUUGAGUCGGAUGUGAAAUCCCCGAGCUUAACUUGGGAAUUGCAUUCGAUACUGGUUAGCUAGAGUGUGGGAGAGGAUGGUAGAAUUCCAGGUGUAGCGGUGAAAUGCGUAGAGAUCUGGAGGAAUACCGAUGGCGAAGGCAGCCAUCUGGCCUAACACUGACGCUGAGGUACGAAAGCAUGGGGAGCAAACAGG
Molecule: ribosomal RNA, 430 nt
Filed under: Pseudomonadota bacterium
Lineage: Bacteria; Pseudomonadati; Pseudomonadota
Description: Proteobacteria bacterium partial 16S ribosomal RNA
Rfam family: Bacterial small subunit ribosomal RNA
Source: RNAcentral